GAUGAACGCUGGCGGCGUGCUUAACACAUGCGAGUCGAACGAUGAAGCCCAGCUUGCUGGGUGGAUUAGUGGCGAACGGGUGAGUAACACGUGAGUAACCUGCCCUUAACUCUGGGAUAAGCCUGGGAAACUGGGUCUAAUACCGGAUAGGAGCGUCCACCGCAUGGUGGGUGUUGGAAAGAUUUAUCGGUUUUGGAUGGACUCGCGGCCUAUCAGCUUGUUUGUGAGGUAAUGGCUCACCAAGGCGACGACGGGUAGCCGGCCUGAGAGGGUGACCGGCCACACUGGGACUGAGAGACGGCCCAGACUCCUACGGGAGGCAGCAGUGGGGAAUAUUGCACAAUGGGCGCAAGCCUGAUGCAGCGACGCCGCGUGAGGGAUGACGGCCUUCGGGUUGUAAACCUCUUUCAGUAGGGAAGAAGCGAAAGUGACGGUACCUGCAGAAGAAGCACCGGCUAACUACGUG
This 466-nucleotide ribosomal RNA is filed under the name uncultured bacterium. Its description in RNAcentral is "partial 16S ribosomal RNA". It matches the Rfam family "Bacterial small subunit ribosomal RNA", at positions 28 to 507 of the family's 1533-position model. The record is from RNAcentral.